This 497-nucleotide ribosomal RNA is filed under the name uncultured bacterium. RNAcentral's name for it is "partial 16S ribosomal RNA". It matches the Rfam family "Bacterial small subunit ribosomal RNA", at positions 28 to 507 of the family's 1533-position model. The record is from RNAcentral.
GAUGAACGCUGGCGGCGUGCCUAAUACAUGCAAGUCGAGCGAACAGACGAGGAGCUUGCUCCUCUGACGUUAGCGGCGGACGGGUGAGUAACACGUGGAUAACCUACCUAUAAGACUGGGAUAACUUCGGGAAACCGGAGCUAAUACCGGAUAAUAUAUUGAACCGCAUGGUUCAAUAGUGAAAGACGGUUUUGCUGUAACUUAUAGAUGGAUCCGCGCCGCAUUAGCUAGUUGGUAAGGUAACGGCUUACCAAGGCAACGAUGCGUAGCCGACCUGAGAGGGUGAUCGGCCACACUGGAACUGAGACACGGUCCAGACUCCUACGGGAGGCAGCAGUAGGGAAUCUUCCGCAAUGGGCGAAAGCCUGACGGAGCAACGCCGCGUGAGUGAUGAAGGUCUUCGGAUCGUAAAACUCUGUUAUUAGGGAAGAACAAAUGUGGAAGUAACUAUGCACGUCUUGACGGUACCUAAUCAGAAAGCCACGGCUAACUACGUG